UACAUGGGGUGCAAACGUUGCUCGGAAUUAUUGGGCGUAAAGCGCACGUAGGCGGUUCGUUAAGUCGGAUGUGAAAGCCCUCGGCUCAACUGAGGAAGUGCACCCGAAACUGGCGAGCUUGAGUACGAAAGAGGAUCGCGGAAUUCCCGGUGUAGAGGUGAAAUUCGUAGAUAUUCGCAAGAACACCAGUGGCGAAGGCGGCUCACUGGCCCGGUACUGACGCUGAGGCACGAAAGCGUGGGGAGCAAACAGG
This 253-nucleotide ribosomal RNA is filed under the name uncultured bacterium. RNAcentral's name for it is "partial 16S ribosomal RNA". It matches the Rfam family "Bacterial small subunit ribosomal RNA", at positions 524 to 776 of the family's 1533-position model. The record is from RNAcentral.